AGAACGAACGCUGGCGGCAGGCUUAACACAUGCAAGUCGAGCGCUGUAGCAAUACAGAGCGGCAGACGGGUGAGUAACGCGUGGGAACGUACCCCCCGGUUCGGAAUAACUCAGGGAAACUUGAGCUAAUACCGGAUACGGCUUAACGGCGAAAGAUUUAUCGCCGGGGGAUCGGCCCGCGUCCGAUUAGCUAGUUGGUGUGGUAAUGGCGCACCAAGGCGACGAUCGGUAGCUGGUCUGAGAGGAUGAUCAGCCACAUUGGGACUGAGACACGGCCCAAACUCCUACGGGAGGCAGCAGUGGGGAAUAUUGGACAAUGGGCGAAAGCCUGAUCCAGCCAUGCCGCGUGAGUGAUGAAGGCCUUAGGGUUGUAAAGCUCUUUCACCCACGACGAUAAUGACGGUAGUGGGAGAGAAGCCCCGGCUAACUUCGCGCCAGCAGCCGC
Molecule: ribosomal RNA, 445 nt
Filed under: uncultured bacterium
Lineage: Bacteria
Description: SSU rRNA
Rfam family: Bacterial small subunit ribosomal RNA
Source: RNAcentral